RNAcentral lists this ribosomal RNA (433 nucleotides) under uncultured bacterium. RNAcentral describes it as "partial 16S ribosomal RNA". It matches the Rfam family "Bacterial small subunit ribosomal RNA", at positions 29 to 507 of the family's 1533-position model. The record is from RNAcentral.
AACGAACGCUGGCGGCAGGCCUAACACAUGCAAGUCGAGCGAGCAUUUCGGUGCUAGCGGCGGACGGGUGAGUAACGCGUGGGAACGUGCCCUUUUCUGCGGAAUAGUCCUGGGAAACUGGGGGUAAUACCGCAUACGCCCUUUUGGGGAAAGAUUUAUCGGAGAAGGAUCGGCCCGCGUUGGAUUAGGUAGUUGGUGGGGUAAUGGCCCACCAAGCCGACGAUCCAUAGCUGGUUUGAGAGGAUGAUCAGCCACACUGGGACUGAGACACGGCCCAGACUCCUACGGGAGGAAGCAGUGGGGAAUCUUAGACAAUGGGGGCAACCCUGAUCUAGCCAUGCCGCGUGAGUGAUGAAGGCCUUAGGGUAGUAAAGCUCUUUCAGCUGGGAAGAUAAUGACGGUACCAGCAGAAGAAGCCCCGGCUAACUCCGUG